GUGAAUCAUCAAAUUUUUGAACGCAAAUUGCACUCUCUUCGGAGAGUAUGCCUGUUUGAGGGUCAGCCUAAAAAAAAAUCGACAUAUUCGCUGUUUGCCGGUGCAUUUCGUCGGAAAUUGGUUCAUUUUAAACCUUUGGUUUUUAAGGGGCUUAAAUUUUUUUUUAGAUUUCACGAAAGGUUUUUAAAUUUUCUUUUUUUACCUU
This 205-nucleotide unclassified non-coding RNA is filed under the name Glomus sp. RNAcentral describes it as "partial contains 5.8S ribosomal RNA and internal transcribed spacer 2". The stretch from base 1 to 65 matches the Rfam family "5.8S ribosomal RNA", at positions 84 to 154 of the family's 154-position model. Lineage: Eukaryota; Fungi; Glomeromycota; Glomeromycetes; Glomerales; Glomeraceae. The record is from RNAcentral.